RNAcentral lists this ribosomal RNA (392 nucleotides) under uncultured Gammaproteobacteria bacterium. Its description in RNAcentral is "bacterial SSU rRNA". It matches the Rfam family "Bacterial small subunit ribosomal RNA", at positions 370 to 779 of the family's 1533-position model. Lineage: Bacteria; Pseudomonadati; Pseudomonadota; Gammaproteobacteria. The record is from RNAcentral.
AAUGGGGGCAACCCUGAUCUAGCCGUGCCGCGUGAGUGAUGAAGGCCUUAGGGUCGUAAAGCUCUUUCGCCUGUGAUGAUAAUGACAGUAGCAGGUAAAGAAACCCCGGCUAACUCCGUGCCAGCAGCCGCGGUAAUACGGAGGGGGUUAGCGUUGUUCGGAAUUACUGGGCGUAAAGCGCGCGUAGGCGGAUUAGAAAGUUGGGGGUGAAAUCCCGGGGCUCAACCCCGGAACUGCCUCCAAAACUGCUAGUCUAGAGUUCGAGAGAGGUGAGUGGAAUUCCGAGUGUAGAGGUGAAAUUCGUAGAUAUUCGGAGGAACACCAGUGGCGAAGGCGGCUCGCUGGCUCGAUACUGACGCUGAGGUGCGAAAGUGUGGGGAGCAAACAGGAUU